This 86-nucleotide transfer RNA is filed under the name Algimonas arctica. Its description in RNAcentral is "tRNA-Leu". It matches the Rfam family "tRNA". From Rfam's summary of the family: Transfer RNA (tRNA) molecules are approximately 80 nucleotides in length. Their secondary structure includes four short double-helical elements and three loops (D, anti-codon, and T loops). Lineage: Bacteria; Pseudomonadati; Pseudomonadota; Alphaproteobacteria; Maricaulales; Robiginitomaculaceae. The record is from RNAcentral.
GCGGGCGUGGCGAAAUGGUAGACGCGACAGACUUAAAAUCUGUUUUCCGCAAGGAAGUGCCGGUUCGAUCCCGGCCGCCCGCACCA